This 197-nucleotide unclassified non-coding RNA is filed under the name uncultured Agaricales. RNAcentral describes it as "sequence contains ITS2". Lineage: Eukaryota; Fungi; Basidiomycota; Agaricomycetes; Agaricales. The record is from RNAcentral.
AAUUCUCAACCUUAUCAGUUUAUUUCUGAUAGUGGCUUGGAUGUGGGGGUUUUCUUGCUGGCUGAGGUCAGCUCCCCUUAAAUGCAUUAGCUGGUGCCCCGUGUGGACUGUCUAUUGGUGUGAUAAUUAUCUACGCCAUGGAUGGUCUGCAAGCGCACUGCUUCUAACCGUCUGUUAAUUCGGACAAUACAAUGACA